GAUGAACGCUAGCUACAGGCUUAACACAUGCAAGUCGAGGGGAAACGAUAUUGGAAGCUUGCUUCCGAUAGGCGUCGACCGGCGCACGGGUGAGUAACGCGUAUCCAACCUGCCCACCACUUGGGGAUAACCUUGCGAAAGUAAGACUAAUACCCAAUGAUAUCUCUAGAAGACAUCUGAAGGAGAUUAACGAUUUAUCGGUGAUGGAUGGGGAUGCGUCUGAUUAGCUUGUUGGCGGGGUAACGGCCCACCAAGGCGACGAUCAGUAGGGGUUCUGGGAGGAAGGUCCCCCACAUUGGAACUGAGACACGGUCCAAACUCCUACGGGAGGCAGCAGUGAGGAAUAUUGGUCAAUGGGCGAGAGCCUGAACCAGCCAAGUAGCGUGCAGGAUGACGGCCCUAUGGGUUGUAAACUGCUUUUAUAAGGGAAUAAAGUGAGUCUCGUGAGACUUUUUGCAUGUACCUUAUGAAUAAGGACCGGCUAAUUCCGUGCCAGCCGCCGCCGUAA
RNAcentral lists this ribosomal RNA (508 nucleotides) under uncultured bacterium. RNAcentral describes it as "partial 16S ribosomal RNA". It matches the Rfam family "Bacterial small subunit ribosomal RNA", at positions 28 to 523 of the family's 1533-position model. The record is from RNAcentral.